Molecule: long non-coding RNA, 1335 nt
Filed under: Felis catus (domestic cat)
Lineage: Eukaryota; Metazoa; Chordata; Mammalia; Carnivora; Felidae
Description: lncRNA (ENSFCAG00000049974.1)
Source: RNAcentral
GGAAGUGGUAAAGCCAGGAUGCAAGCCGCACCAGGCAGUCUGGUGUCAGAGCCCGUGCCCAGGCCUGGCACACAGCAGGUGCUGAGAGGCAAUGGCUGGUUCCUGGCUCUUUAUUAAUUUCUCUGGGUCACGGGGGUGCGGGCCCCAAAGGCGAGAUGGGAGCCUCUUGUGGAGAACAUCCGGAGAGGGCCUCGGGACCCACCUGCCGGGGAAGGGGGUUGCCGUUUCCCUAUCAUUCCGAGUCUGGAGAAGUCCAUAGCAUCCCCGCGAAAACCCCCUCUGCCCCGCUCCCCCUGUUCCCCACGGCCCGAAGCUGCCUCUGCAUUGGAGCCGUCAGAGCCCUGGGCCUCCAGAGAUGAGUCCCCAGGGUCCACACCACUCCUGCACACCCCUAAUUAAGUUAGAAGAAGCUCCAGGCCCCUGGGUGCUCUUUGCUGCAGAAAGCACUUGAAAAAUGCAGAGAGGCAAAGAAGUUCAAGGUCUGGGUAUCUGCUGCCCUUGGUUCUGCUUAGGAAUUCUUCAGCUGAUUACACGGCUCUCAGUUCAACAACACCAGCUUUGUGUCCCGGGCUAUGGGAAGGCUCCUCUCUGCCACCAUCGCGGCCACGGAGGGUCAUCCUGUCGGGAAAACACAUCUGGAGAGAACUAUUUCCAUCAGAUUUAAAAAUACUUCAGGGGCGACGUUUUCUUGAGCAUUUCUUUAAUAUCUUCUUUUCCCUCUUUCCUUUUUCAUACAGGCUAACAGUUAAUGCAGGGCCCCUGCAUUCCUGGAAACCCCUGGAAUGUAAGUGGGUUGAAAGCCAUUGAGGAAGCACGUGGCAUGCCUGGUCUCUCAGCCCUCGAGCCUGGUGGCAUCCAAUUUGUGCUCAGUGCGGAAGACACAGCCUCUCGGGGGGCCCAGGAGCCUGCGGUGCCUCAUCUUGCUGUUGAGAAGCCCCGGCCAUGAGCUGGGCUGUGCCCGCCUGGGAUCUUUUCGGCUCUUUCUUUGGGCAGGUUUUUCUGGAGCACCAAAUAUUUUUGAAAAAUAUAUUCAGGCAAUCGUCCCGCGCAGUGCCCGUCGGCACAAUUUUUUCUCACUUCUCUGACCGUCCUCUGUCUCUUUUACGUUCUGAAAGAUUGUCUGCAGUGGUGUCGGAGAUGAUACAGAAAGCCCUCAUCAAGGCCAGUCUAACCUAACCUUUAUGUGAGAUUCCGGUGACGCCCCCGUGAAGUUGACCUAAUCACCACCUUUCACAGGUAGGAAAUCAGAGCUGGGGAGAAAGGGCUCAACUUCCAAUCUCCCAGCCUGACCCCCGUACCACGCUACCAGAUGGAACCCCCCACAUCUCGACUCUA